GUAAGGUAAAGCACCCAAUGCUCGACAACGCACCAUUGUUCGACACUAAAAAACUAAACUCAAAAAAAUAACACUAUUAAACGUUUUUCGAACGCACCAAAGCUUUGAGCCAUAGACAACUGUCACUAACUAGUCAUUGUGGAUGACAUUUCCUACAUUCGGCCAUUUUGUACAAAAUGGUGAAGGUGUAAAUAUCGACCGGCGGACAACUCUUUCGGAAAUCCAGUUUUACUAGCGGAAUCCUUAAGGAGAAAUGGCGCCUAAAAAAAAUUACACGCCUGCACAAAUGGCUCAGGCUAUAGAAGCGGUC
Long non-coding RNA from Colias croceus (clouded yellow), 310 nucleotides. RefSeq lists it as uncharacterized. Lineage: Eukaryota; Metazoa; Arthropoda; Insecta; Lepidoptera; Pieridae. The record is from RefSeq and is a predicted model, not a curated record. The transcript has 2 exons.